GUGCUUUGCCAGCUCAUAUAUUAAAAUUAGAAAGAUGUGGAGAAGAUUAUCAUGGUCUCUGGGCAAGAAUGACAAGCAAAUUCAUGCAGAGUCUCAUAUUUUU
Molecule: small nuclear RNA, 103 nt
Filed under: Equus asinus (donkey)
Lineage: Eukaryota; Metazoa; Chordata; Mammalia; Perissodactyla; Equidae
Source: RNAcentral